This is a long non-coding RNA of Bos taurus (domestic cattle), 1968 nucleotides long. The record is from Ensembl. NCBI's taxonomy places the organism in Eukaryota, Metazoa, Chordata, Mammalia, Artiodactyla, Bovidae.
CACAGACCUGGAGUCCACUUCCCCUUUCCUUCAACCUUCUAGCUGUGUGACUUUCAGAAAAUCAAGUAACCUUCCUGAGCCUCAGUGUUUCAGCCUCCCAGAGCCACCGUGAAGAUGAGAUGCUGUGAUGGAUGGAGGUGUGUGGCAGGCAGAAUACUGGAAAUCAGAUAUCCAUGUCCUGAUCCACAGAGCCUCUGAAUGUUACCCGACACGGCAAAGGGGAAUUUGCAGGAGUGAUUACAUUAAGGAUUUUGAGAUGGGGAGAUUAUUCUCGAUUAUCCAGAUGGGCCCGAGGCAGGCAUCAGGGUCUUAUAAGAGGAGGCGGGGCAGCAGAUUGGAGAGGUGGAAAGUGAGGAGACAGUAGAAGCAGACACUGGAGUGAUGUGGCCACAAGCCAGGGAAUGCUAGCAGACUCUGGAAGCCAGAGGUGGUGAGGAUCAGCUUCUUCCCUAGAGGCCUCAGGAAGAACCAGCCUUGCCGACACCUUGACUUUAUCCCAGUGACGCUGGCCGCCACACCUGUAGGGGAGUAUACAUGGAUGUGGUUUUAGGUCACUGAGAUCGUGGUAAUUCAUCAUAGCGGCCACAGGAAAUGGAUACAGGAUGUUGUGAAGAUAGACAGUCCUCCACAAGGAGAAGGAUUUGCUGUAACGUCGUCAGAGCAGCCCUCCAGGCUCCUCUGUCCAUGGGAUUCUCCCGGCAAGAAAUACUGGAGUGGGUUGCCAUGCCCUUCUCCAGGGGACCAACCUGGAUCUCUUACAUCUCCUGCAUUGGCAGUCACACAUUAAGGAAGGCUUUCCCUGGUGGCGCUGUGGAUAAGAAUCCGGCGACCAACACAGGGGACAUGGGUUCAAUCCCCAGUCCAGGAAGAUUCCACGUGCCACAGAGCAACUGAGCCGGCUUGCCACAACCACUGAAGUCUUCAUGCUCUAGGACCCGAGAACCACAAUUACUGAGCCCCUGUGCCACAGCCACUGAAGGCUGAGAGCCUAGAGCCCAUGAUCUGCAACAAGAGAAGUCACUGCAGUGAGAAGAAGCUAGAGCGCCAGAAGUAGAGAGUAGCCCCCGCUCCCUGCCCGCAUGCAGCAAAGAAGACCCAGCACAGCCAAAAUUAAAUAAAUACAGCAGUGUGUAUAAGUCAAAAAAUAAACUAAUUAAAAAAAAAAGAAAAGAAAACUCUGGAAGGUUUCUCCUGGUCAAUGGGUAUCCACACAGAUCUCACAAAAGGUUCUUAGUGUCACUGUGAGUUUUCCUCUGAAAGCCUUUUUCAGAACUGGGCAUCCUGAGUGAUUCUAGAAUUUCAAAAUCUGUGGAGGGGAGCAAGCUGGAGAAUCCUUUUGUUCACGCAAGUUCAGCUCCUCUGGAAAUUGGGAGCCAGCCCUCAAAAAUCUCAGAUGUUCUUGAUGUGAGCCUCUCGGAGACCUUCAGAGGCGAUCCCUGGCUGAGGACUUGCCAACCUCAAGGGUAACCUCUGUGCCUUGAAACUGUGAAGUUAGAGCAAGAAGCCGGUCACACAAAUAGCCUUGCAACCUGAGUGUGCACGCAUCAGGAUCGCUUGGAAGGCUGCUGAUGCAGACUGCUGAGCACCCCCAGCCCAGGGAGACUCAAAGUAUCCGCGCUGAGACUGGACAAUUUGCAUUUCUUCGUUUGUUUGCUGAAAUGUGACCCAUUCUUGUGGGAUGAUGCCAACACUGGAUGCAGGACUAUUUUAAAGUCAUUUGGACCUAAUCUCACUUUCACAGAUUCUGCUCCUUAUUACAUCAAAUAUAUUAAAACUUAGCCCAUUACACAUCAAAGCAAGUCUAUUUUGCUACAAAUUUUACAAGGACUUUUAUAAAUUUGCUUUUAAUAAAUAUUUACUGUGUUUAUAAAUAAGUCAUUAAUAAUAAUAUAAUUUAUAAUAAAUUAUUUGUUUACUGUAAUUCAUAAAUAUAUAAAUAAUUUGUUUAAUAAAUAAUUUACUGUAGAC